This 801-nucleotide ribosomal RNA is filed under the name uncultured bacterium. RNAcentral's name for it is "bacterial SSU rRNA". It matches the Rfam family "Bacterial small subunit ribosomal RNA", at positions 83 to 868 of the family's 1533-position model. The record is from RNAcentral.
UCCCUGAUGUUAGCGGCGGACGGGUGAGUAACACGUGGGUAACCUGCCUGUAAGACUGGGAUAACUCCGGGAAACCGGGGCUAAUACCGGAUGGUUGUUUGAACCGCAUGGUUCAAACAUAAAAGGUGGCUUCGGCUACCACUUACAGAUGGACCCGCGGCGCAUUAGCUAGUUGGUGAGGUAACGGCUCACCAAGGCAACGAUGCGUAGCCGACCUGAGAGGGUGAUCGGCCACACUGGGACUGAGACACGGCCCAGACUCCUACGGGAGGCAGCAGUAGGGAAUCUUCCGCAAUGGACGAAAGUCUGACGGAGCAACGCCGCGUGAGUGAUGAAGGUUUUCGGAUCGUAAAGCUCUGUUGUUAGGGAAGAACAAGUACCGUUCGAAUAGGGCGGUACCUUGACGGUACCUAACCAGAAAGCCACGGCUAACUACGUGCCAGCAGCCGCGGUAAUACGUAGGUGGCAAGCGUUGUCCGGAAUUAUUGGGCGUAAAGGGCUCGCAGGCGGUUUCUUAAGUCUGAUGUGAAAGCCCCCGGCUCAACCGGGGAGGGUCAUUGGAAACUGGGGAACUUGAGUGCAGAAGAGGAGAGUGGAAUUCCACGUGUAGCGGUGAAAUGCGUAGAGAUGUGGAGGAACACCAGUGGCGAAGGCGACUCUCUGGUCUGUAACUGACGCUGAGGAGCGAAAGCGUGGGGAGCGAACAGGAUUAGAUACCCUGGUAGUCCACGCCGUAAACGAUGAGUGCUAAGUGUUAGGGGGUUUCCGCCCCUUAGUGCUGCAGCUAACGCAUUAAGCACU